ACGGAGGGUUUCCCUUCAAAUCGUAUAAAUAUUUCGCCUUUUACUAAAGAUUUCUGUGAACACUCAAAUGUCACACAAAUUUUCUAUUAAAAUUUUUAUUGACUAAAAAAAU
RNAcentral lists this small nuclear RNA (112 nucleotides) under Melitaea cinxia (Glanville fritillary). Its description in RNAcentral is "misc RNA ENSMCXG00005023193.1". It matches the Rfam family "U5 spliceosomal RNA". From Rfam's summary of the family: U5 RNA is a component of both types of known spliceosome. The precise function of this molecule is unknown, though it is known that the 5' loop is required for splice site selection and p220 binding, and that both the 3' stem-loop and the Sm site are important for Sm protein binding and cap methylation. Lineage: Eukaryota; Metazoa; Arthropoda; Insecta; Lepidoptera; Nymphalidae. The record is from RNAcentral.